This 431-nucleotide long non-coding RNA is filed under the name Oryzias javanicus (javanese ricefish). RNAcentral describes it as "lncRNA (ENSOJAG00000012307.1)". Lineage: Eukaryota; Metazoa; Chordata; Actinopteri; Beloniformes; Adrianichthyidae. The record is from RNAcentral.
GUCAUGUUUUUGCAAAAUUCAGUGUUUCCACACAUUGAACUGCAAUGAUGGUUGAUCGAUUUUUUUAAUCGUACAGUUUGAUUUGAUUGAGAACUUGCCUCAGACAGAUUGAUCUGAUGGGAUAGGAGGAAUAGAAAUUGAUUAAUCGUUACACCCCUUGUUAAGAGUAUCCAGGAUGAGAGGUUGCUAAUUCACUCGUGUACACUUUCUGGAGAAAAACAAAUAUUCUGAAAAUAUAUUAAAUUUGAGCUUAAACAAUUUAUUCCUUCACUGUAUUUUAUUCCUUAAACAACUUGUGUUUCCUCCUCAGUUCUGCUCAUCUCUUUGGUUGAUCAAGGACAAACCCAAGCGUUACCUCAGAACACCACUCUUGCAAUGGAACAAGUAACAACUGAAGAACCUCCUUCUACAGACAACAACUCAACUUGGAG